AUUGAACGCUAGCGGGAUGCUUUACACAUGCAAGUCGAACGAGUGGCGGGCGGGUGAGUAAUAUAUCGGAACGUGCCCAGUAGGGGGGGCUAACUACUCGAAAGCGUGGCUAAUACCGCACCCUAUUGGAGCGGCCUCUUUCGGAUUAGCUAGUUGGUGGGGUAAAGGCUCACAAAGGCAACGAUCCGUAGCUGGUUUGAGAGGAUGACCAGCCACACUGGGACUGAGACACGACCCAGACUCCUACGGGAGGCAGCAGUGGGGAAUCUUUGGCAAUGGGGUCAACCCUGACGCAGCCAUCCCGCGUGUAUGAGAAGGCCUUCGGGUUGUAAAGUACUGUUGUCAGAGAAGCGGUAUCUUCAGAAUAAGCACCGGCUAACUACGUGCCAGCAGCCGCGGUAAUAC
Molecule: ribosomal RNA, 405 nt
Filed under: uncultured bacterium
Lineage: Bacteria
Description: partial 16S ribosomal RNA
Rfam family: Bacterial small subunit ribosomal RNA
Source: RNAcentral